UUCCACAUGAUCGCAUGUGAUUGUGGGAAAGAUUCUAUCGGCGUGGGAUGGGGUCGCGUCCUAUCAGCUUGUUGGUGAGGUAACGGCUCACCAAGGCUUCGACGGGUAGCCGGCCUGAGAGGGCGACCGGCCACAUUGGGACUGAGAUACGGCCCAGACUCCUACGGGAGGCAGCAGUGGGGAAUAUUGCACAAUGGGCGCAAGCCUGAUGCAGCGACGCCGCGUGAGGGAUGGAGGCCUUCGGGUUGUAAACCUCUUUUGUUUGGGAGCAAGCCUUCGGGUGAGUGUACCUUUCGAAUAAGCGCCGGCUAACUACGUGCCAGCAGCCGCGGUAAUACGUAGGGCGCAAGCGUUAUCCGGAUUUAUUGGGCGUAAAGGGCUCGUAGGCGGCUCGUCGCGUCCGGUGUGAAAGUCCAUCGCUUAACGGUGGAUCUGCGCCGGGUACGGGCG
Molecule: ribosomal RNA, 450 nt
Filed under: uncultured Bifidobacterium sp.
Lineage: Bacteria; Bacillati; Actinomycetota; Actinomycetes; Bifidobacteriales; Bifidobacteriaceae
Description: bacterial SSU rRNA
Rfam family: Bacterial small subunit ribosomal RNA
Source: RNAcentral